RNAcentral lists this long non-coding RNA (418 nucleotides) under Mustela putorius furo (domestic ferret). RNAcentral's name for it is "lncRNA (ENSMPUG00000023818.1)". The record is from RNAcentral. Lineage: Eukaryota; Metazoa; Chordata; Mammalia; Carnivora; Mustelidae.
AAACUAAGGUCUUUGACCCCAAAUCCUGUGCUCUUUCCUUAAGAAGACUGAUGGAAGAGAAGGAAGGAAACGAGGCUGGAAGGCAAGAAAGACACCUCCAUGUGGCCGGGCAAUGCCUCUCCGUCCCGCCUCCGCCAACAGUUGCAUUUCCAAUUCCUCAGACUCAAUUUGGGCUUAUCUACUUUGCACAUCAACAGCUAGUCUAAGAACUAUGGCUGGAGAGAGCAGGCUGGCUCUGGAUUUUAUCCCUCCUUGAAUUUGUUGAUGAAAGUAGAAGCCUGAAUAGCGGUAUCGUUCCCGUCGCUGGUUUCCAUGAAGAUGGGGCAGCAUAAAUUCAAUAACUGUUCAGAAUAUUAAUUUAAGCUUCAGCCUGACAGCCAAUGAUCACUGGAACAUACAGUACUGACCCAGCUGCUCA